AAAGAAACUAACAAGGAUUCCCCUAGUAACGGCGAGUGAAGAGGGAAGAGCUCAAAUUUGAAAGCUGGUACCUCCGGUAUCCGCGUUGUAACCUCGAGACACGUUUUCCGUGCGGCGCUAUGGACAAGUUCCUUGGAACAGGACAUCGUAGAGGGUGAAAAUCCCGUACUUGCCAUGGAUGUACCGUGCUUUGCGAUACGUGCUCUAAGAGUCGAGUUGUUUGGGAUUGCAGCUCAAAAUGGGUGGUAGACUCCAUCUAAAGCUAAAUAUCGGGGAGAGACCGAUAGCGAACAAGUACCGUGAGGGAAAGAUGAAAAGCACUUUGGAAAGAGAGUUAAAAGUACGUGAAAUUGUCGAAAGGGAAGCGCUUGAAGUCAGCCAUGCCGCUCAGGACUCAGCCUGGCUUUUGCUUGGUGUAUUUCCUGGGUAGCAAGUCAGCAUUGGUUUGGAUCGUCGGAGAAGCAUAGUCGGAAUGUGGCGCCCUCGGGCGUGUUAUAGCCUUCUAUUGGAUACGACGAUCUAGACCAAGGAACGCAGCGCGC
Molecule: ribosomal RNA, 542 nt
Filed under: Malassezia furfur
Lineage: Eukaryota; Fungi; Basidiomycota; Malasseziomycetes; Malasseziales; Malasseziaceae
Description: eukaryotic LSU rRNA
Rfam family: Eukaryotic large subunit ribosomal RNA
Source: RNAcentral